RNAcentral lists this ribosomal RNA (1449 nucleotides) under Lacticaseibacillus rhamnosus. RNAcentral describes it as "bacterial SSU rRNA". It matches the Rfam family "Bacterial small subunit ribosomal RNA". The record is from RNAcentral. Lineage: Bacteria; Bacillati; Bacillota; Bacilli; Lactobacillales; Lactobacillaceae.
UGCCUAUACAUGCAGUCGAACGAGUUCUGAUUAUUGAAAGGUGCUUGCAUCUUGAUUUAAUUUUGAACGAGUGGCGGACGGGUGAGUAACACGUGGGUAACCUGCCCUUAAGUGGGGGAUAACAUUUGGAAACAGAUGCUAAUACCGCAUAAAUCCAAGAACCGCAUGGUUCUUGGCUGAAAGAUGGCGUAAGCUAUCGCUUUUGGAUGGACCCGCGGCGUAUUAGCUAGUUGGUGAGGUAACGGCUCACCAAGGCAAUGAUACGUAGCCGAACUGAGAGGUUGAUCGGCCACAUUGGGACUGAGACACGGCCCAAACUCCUACGGGAGGCAGCAGUAGGGAAUCUUCCACAAUGGACGCAAGUCUGAUGGAGCAACGCCGCGUGAGUGAAGAAGGCUUUCGGGUCGUAAAACUCUGUUGUUGGAGAAGAAUGGUCGGCAGAGUAACUGUUGUCGGCGUGACGGUAUCCAACCAGAAAGCCACGGCUAACUACGUGCCAGCAGCCGCGGUAAUACGUAGGUGGCAAGCGUUAUCCGGAUUUAUUGGGCGUAAAGCGAGCGCAGGCGGUUUUUUAAGUCUGAUGUGAAAGCCCUCGGCUUAACCGAGGAAGUGCAUCGGAAACUGGGAAACUUGAGUGCAGAAGAGGACAGUGGAACUCCAUGUGUAGCGGUGAAAUGCGUAGAUAUAUGGAAGAACACCAGUGGCGAAGGCGGCUGUCUGGUCUGUAACUGACGCUGAGGCUCGAAAGCAUGGGUAGCGAACAGGAUUAGAUACCCUGGUAGUCCAUGCCGUAAACGAUGAAUGCUAGGUGUUGGAGGGUUUCCGCCCUUCAGUGCCGCAGCUAACGCAUUAAGCAUUCCGCCUGGGGAGUACGACCGCAAGGUUGAAACUCAAAGGAAUUGACGGGGGCCCGCACAAGCGGUGGAGCAUGUGGUUUAAUUUGAAGCAACGCGAAGAACCUUACCAGGUCUUGACAUCUUUUGAUCACCUGAGAGAUCAGGUUUCCCCUUCGGGGGCAAAAUGACAGGUGGUGCAUGGUUGUCGUCAGCUCGUGUCGUGAGAUGUUGGGUUAAGUCCCGCAACGAGCGCAACCCUUAUGACUAGUUGCCAGCAUUUAGUUGGGCACUCUAGUAAGACUGCCGGUGACAAACCGGAGGAAGGUGGGGAUGACGUCAAAUCAUCAUGCCCCUUAUGACCUGGGCUACACACGUGCUACAAUGGAUGGUACAACGAGUUGCGAGACCGCGAGGUCAAGCUAAUCUCUUAAAGCCAUUCUCAGUUCGGACUGUAGGCUGCAACUCGCCUACACGAAGUCGGAAUCGCUAGUAAUCGCGGAUCAGCACGCCGCGGUGAAUACGUUCCCGGGCCUUGUACACACCGCCCGUCACACCAUGAGAGUUUGUAACACCCGAAGCCGGUGGCGUAACCCUUUUAGGGAGCGAGCCGUCU